GGCUGCAACUCGCCUACACGAAGUUGGAAUUGCUAGUAAUCGUGGAUCAGCAUGCCACGGUGAAUACGUUCCCGGGUCUUGUACACACCGCCCGUCACACCAUGGGAGCUGGUAACACCCGAAGUCAGUAGUCUAACCGCAAGGAGGACGCUGCCGAAGGUGGGAUUAGCGACUGGGGUGAAGUCGUAACAAGGUACC
Molecule: ribosomal RNA, 198 nt
Filed under: uncultured bacterium
Lineage: Bacteria
Description: partial 16S ribosomal RNA
Rfam family: Bacterial small subunit ribosomal RNA
Source: RNAcentral